Molecule: unclassified non-coding RNA, 801 nt
Filed under: Hevea brasiliensis (rubber tree)
Lineage: Eukaryota; Viridiplantae; Streptophyta; Magnoliopsida; Malpighiales; Euphorbiaceae
Source: RNAcentral
AUUUCCUCGAUAAUGAUCUCCAAACCUCUCUGUCAACUAGUAGAUGAGUGCAAGUAAUUUACAAUGAUAACGUAUCUUAUAGUAAUUCACAAGAAGUAGUACAUAUAUGAAAGCAAAAUAUUGAUUUCAUCAGCACAAAAGUUCCAUGCUUGAUAUGGGUUAAUGUUCUCUUUCAUUCUGGUUUUUCUUCACAACAAGGACAGCGCACUCGGCAUUAUUCAGGCAAUAGUUGCUCACACUCCCCAGAAAAGCCCUUUUUAAGGCUCCACCUUCAUUUUUACCCAGAACAAGCAGAUUAACUUUGUAGUUUUUAACAGCAUUGCAUAUCAGCUCUCCUGGCUCCCCCAGUUCUGUAAUUGUCUCCGCUUUUACCCCUCGACUAGCACAGAUGUUCUUAGCUUUCUCCAAGAUACCCAAUGAGACCUUCUUAUUUCGUUCUUGAACAGCGCUAAUCAUAUCCAAGGUGGGUGAGAAUGGAAAGUAAAUGCGAGCGAUGCCAAGUUGUGCAGCAUAUGCACUGUAAUUAUUAGGAAUAGGCUGUGCAGAAAAGAUCAGAAGCGGCGAGUUGACAAUCGAGUUUUUGAGAUUGUUAAGAACCCAAGUGAGUGCAUAGUAACUGGACUCACUUUCAUCUAUGGCCACCAUCACCUUACUGUCACACCCCUCUUUUUCUUUCUCCAUUUUGACAAAGAUGAAGCAAGCCAGUCUUGAGUUUAUAAACAAAAUGGAAUUUGCUGUUGGAGAAAGCAACAUCAACCUAAAGUUGACAUUUUGUCUAUUUUUUGAAGAACUUCACCGAAG